RNAcentral lists this ribosomal RNA (301 nucleotides) under uncultured bacterium. Its description in RNAcentral is "partial 16S ribosomal RNA". It matches the Rfam family "Bacterial small subunit ribosomal RNA", at positions 509 to 807 of the family's 1533-position model. The record is from RNAcentral.
CAGUAGCCACGGUAAUACGGAGGUCCCGAGCGUUGUUCGGAUUUACUGGGCGUAAAGGGUGUGUAGGAGGUUGGAUAAGUCAGGUGUGAAAUCCCGCAGCUCAACUGCGGAACUGCAUUCGAUACUGUUCAACUAGAGGAUCGGAGGGGGAAGCGGAAUUCUUUGUGUAGCGGUGAAAUGCGUAGAUAUCAAGAGGAACACCGAUGGCGAAGGCGGCUUCCUGGAAGAUACCUGACUCUGAAACACGAAAGCCAGGGGAGCGAAUGGGAUUAGAUACCCCCGUAGUCCCUGUCUCUUAUAC